UACGGAGGGUGCAAGCGUUGCUCGGAAUUACUGGGCGUAAAGGGCUCGUAGGCGGCCAACUAAGUCAGACGUGAAAUCCCUCGGCUUAACCGGGGAACUGCGUCUGAUACUGGAUGGCUUGAAUCCGGGAGAGGGAUGCGGAAUUCCAGGUGUAGCGGUGAAAUGCGUAGAUAUCUGGAGGAACACCGGUGGCGAAGGCGGCAUCCUGGACCGGCAUUGACGCUGAGGAGCGAAAGCCAGGGGAGCAAACGGG
RNAcentral lists this ribosomal RNA (253 nucleotides) under uncultured bacterium. RNAcentral describes it as "partial 16S ribosomal RNA". It matches the Rfam family "Bacterial small subunit ribosomal RNA", at positions 524 to 776 of the family's 1533-position model. The record is from RNAcentral.